UGCUUUUACCUGCAAAACCGUCCAAUUCACAACUCAGGGUCUCAUUAGAGGUUCACAUAAAACUGUCUUCAAUUCCAGACAGGCAUAGCUUCUUCUGUGCUGUGAUUCCGUCUUGAAUGAUCGCUUGAAGACUUGAUAUCUUUGAUAUUCAAUCUUGUGAAGAUAGAAAUACCCACAAACAAAAGCUUGAUAAAAACCCUUAAGGUAAGAUGGAGCCUGUGGGCUUCUUUGGAAUCUUUGAGGAAUCCAGGAGAAUCAUCACUGCACACUCAAGGCAUUUUUUGGGGCUUUCUGUGCUGUUCCUACUACCUAUCGCUUUCUUGACCUGUGCCGCAUCAACAUUCAGGAAUUGGAUUAACGUCAAUGAAGGUCAUGAGGAGCUUCUCCGCAGCACUGUAUUAACAUAUUCCAACCAUGGUGAUGAUGACGAUAAUAAGGAUUUCUUCCUUGCUUACACCAGAGGCCUAAUGGAAACCAAGGUAGUCCUCCUUUUAAGCUUGUAUGGUUUACUGAUGUUCGGUCUAGCACUGUGCUCAAAUGCUGCAGUAACCCACAGCACAUGUAAUGGGUUUUAUGGGAGAGGGGUUAAGCUCCCUGGGGCAAUCAAGUCAAUACCAGGGUCAGCAUGGAGGCUUUUGUUAACUUCAGCUUGUGGAAUGGCUGUUCUUGUUGGGAUAUCUUUCACUUUUGGGCUUUUACUGUCAUUGGUUCUUUUGGGUUUAUCAGCAUUUAAUGUAACCCUAGAAUCUAUGACCCCUGUUCAUCUGGUCAUAGUAGUUUUGGCUGGACUGGUGGGUUUGUACCUUCAGAUCCAUUGGAUCCUGGCAACUGUUAUACCCGUGGUGGAGGGUUCGUGGGGAUUGGAACCCUUAAGGAGAAGCAGUUACCUUGUUCAAGAAAUGAGCUGUGUGGGUUCUGGUCUAUAUCAGGAUAAUGAUCUAGAUGAAGAGGAAUAUAAUGGUGAACGAUACUGGUAUAAAGCUUUUACAACCUCAAGCAGGUGUCAUAUUAUGAGGAUAACAGCUACAUAGUUUUCUUGAUGGCAAAAGAGUUAUCAAUGUUUCUGGAUUGCUUCAUCUCAGUGGGAAGAGUGGAUGUACAUGAUCAACUGUAUGUAUUCAGGUCUAUGCCAGGAUAACAAUCUAGAUGAAGAAGUAGCAUCAUAGUGCACAUUAAUUCUGUUCAAAGGUGGAAGUGGUAAAAUUGUGAUGAAGCAUUAUAAUAGGCUAGUAGCUUUCAGCUUGUGUCAAUAGAAAGCAGGUGUCAUAAUUUUGAGGAGAGCAGCUACGUAGUUUUUAGAGGCAUAAGAAGUAAGAACUAAUGAGCUUCUGUUUACGGAGGGGAAUUUUGGAGUGAACUGAACAUUUGUAAAUUGCUUUCACGUUGCAAGAUGGAAGGCCACUUCUAUUUAGAGAAUAGGUAAUUGGUCAUUGGAUUGACUCACUUUUAUCAAGAUACUUUAAAUCCCCAUGUCUUCACUCUUCCACCUUUGAUGAUGGUAUAGAUGAUAAUUGUGUGGGAACUUAUUAUAUUUGCCUGA
Cryptomeria japonica (Japanese cedar) is the source of this 1540-nucleotide RNA transcript. RefSeq lists it as uncharacterized. NCBI's taxonomy places the organism in Eukaryota, Viridiplantae, Streptophyta, Pinopsida, Cupressales, Cupressaceae. The record is from RefSeq and is a predicted model, not a curated record. The transcript is spliced from 5 exons.